RNAcentral lists this ribosomal RNA (450 nucleotides) under Triticum aestivum (bread wheat). Its description in RNAcentral is "partial small subunit ribosomal RNA". Lineage: Eukaryota; Viridiplantae; Streptophyta; Magnoliopsida; Poales; Poaceae. The record is from RNAcentral.
AUGCACUACAUCUCCUUCCCAUCCUUUUUAUCUCUUUCUGCCUUAUCUACUCCCAUGCUCCCCAUCUCCGCCACCAGGCCGCUCUCCGGGAGCCACACAGCCGACGGCUCCUCUCCACCGCAUCGCCCCUGCCCACUCAUCUUUCUCCUCAGCGAUCAUGCCAUCCCCUGCAAGCUUGAACCAGCCCCCACACCUGCUCACCCCCUCCCCCACGGACGAGCGCUACGCCUCAUGGUGCGCAAGGCGGCCGGCGCAGAGAUGCAGAUGGGCGACGACGGGGAACAAGCUGCAGGACGGCGGUGCUACAACCCGCACCUGGUGGAGCUGCAACCGUUGGGCGGCGGUGCUGGAACCGCGAAGUACCGCUGCUGCUUCCCGCCGCUGCCGCCGACGGGACAAUUUGUUUUUGCUGCAACCCUCACCGGCGGAGCUGCAACCGAUGAGUUGUAG